UACGGAGGGGGCUAGCGUUAUUCGGAAUUAUUGGGCGUAAAGGGCGCGUAGGCGGCCCGGUAAGUCAAAGGUGAAAUCCCUCGGCUCAACUGAGGAACUGCCUUUGAAACUGUCGGGCUUGAGGCCGGGAGGGGGUAGCGGAAUUCCCAGUGUAGCGGUGAAAUGCGUAGAUAUUGGGAGGAACACCGGUGGCGAAGGCGGCUACCUGGACCGGUUCUGACGCUGAGGUGCGAAAGCGUGGGGAGCAAACAGG
This 253-nucleotide ribosomal RNA is filed under the name uncultured bacterium. RNAcentral's name for it is "partial 16S ribosomal RNA". It matches the Rfam family "Bacterial small subunit ribosomal RNA", at positions 524 to 776 of the family's 1533-position model. The record is from RNAcentral.